UGGAUCCAGACUUUGAUUAUGGCUCAGGAUGAACGCUAGCUACAGGCUUAACACAUGCAAGUCGAGGGGAAACGACAUCGAAAGCUUGCUUUUGAUGGGCGUCGACCGGCGCACGGGUGAGUAACGCGUAUCCAACCUGCCCACCACUUGGGGAUAACCUUGCGAAAGUAAGACUAAUACCCAAUGAUAUCUCUAGAAGACAUCUGAAAGAGAUUAAAGAUUUAUCGGUGAUGGAUGGGGAUGCGUCUGAUUAGCUUGUUGGCGGGGUAACGGCCCACCAAGGCAACGAUCAGUAGGGGUUCUGAGAGGAAGGUCCCCCACAUUGGAACUGAGACACGGUCCAAACUCCUACGGGAGGCAGCAGUGAGGAAUAUUGGUCAAUGGACGAGAGUCUGAACCAGCCAAGUAGCGUGCAGGAAGACGGCCCUAUGGGUUGUAAACUGCUUUUAUAGGGGAAUAAAGUGAGAGUCGUGACUCUUUUUGCAUGUACCUUAUGAAUAAGGACCGGCUAAUUCCGUGCCAGCAGCCGCGGUAAUACGGAAGGUCCGGGCGUUAUCCGGAUUUAUUGGGUUUAAAGGGAGCGUAGGCCGGAGAUUAAGCGUGUUGUGAAAUGUAGACGCUCAACGUCUGCACUGCAGCGCGAACUGGUUUCCUUGAGUACGCACAAAGUGGGCGGAAUUCGUGGUGUAGCGGUGAAAUGCUUAGAUAUCACGAAGAACUCCGAUUGCGAAGGCAGCUCGCUGGAGCGCAACUGACGCUGAAGCUCGAAAGUGCGGGUAUCGAACAGGAUUAGAUACCCUGGUAGUCCGCACGGUAAACGAUGGAUGCCCGCUGUUGGUCUGAAUAGGUCAGCGGCCAAGCGAAAGCAUUAAGCAUCCCACCUGGGGAGUACGCCGGCAACGGUGCAACUCAAAGGAAUUGACGGA
RNAcentral lists this ribosomal RNA (926 nucleotides) under uncultured Bacteroidota bacterium. Its description in RNAcentral is "bacterial SSU rRNA". It matches the Rfam family "Bacterial small subunit ribosomal RNA", at positions 1 to 917 of the family's 1533-position model. The record is from RNAcentral. Lineage: Bacteria; Pseudomonadati; Bacteroidota.